AUGGCCGGAGACCCGUCGCCGUCGCCGUCGCCGCCCGGAUCCCCCGCCAAGCACCGCCGCCGCCGGGAGCGCGACGACGCGGACCCCGCCCCCGACGCCUCCCCGAAGCGCCGCAGGCACCACCACCGCCACCACCACCGCUCCCACCGCCACCGCCGUCCGGACGACGCCCAGCCCCCGCCGCCCUCUGCGGCCGACGGAGAAGACGUCGAGGAGGGGGAGAUACUAGACGAUGCCGGCGCCGGCGCCGGCGGGGCUAUGGAAGUCGAUGGCGGCCCCCGCGGGGACGACCCCGCAUCUCCGCGAGCCGACCCGGAGCUAGUCGGUGAUCAUGCUGGCACCAACUCGGCCGUUGACGUGACGCAGCCUAGUCAUUCUCCGCCCUCAAAAGAUGAAGGCAGGUUGAAUCACACUGCUCGUGGCUCUGAAAGCGUAGGUAUCUUUUCAGGUGAUGAGGAUAAUAAUGGUAAAGGACAUGAACAGAGUCACAGGGUGUCAAAGUCUCCACGGCCGACAAAGGACAGGGGAAGGAACCAUGAGGACGAGCGUCAAACUCUGUCCUCUAAUAACGAUUCUCAUCAGAGAGAUCACACCACCAAGAGAUCUCCUUCCUCCAGGAACCACAUUGAAGAGGUUCAUUCUAGGAAUCACCCAAGGUCCGGAGAAGCUGAUGCCAAAGCUAAUGGUUCGCGGGCAAGUCCAAGGGCUGACCCUGAUCGUGACAACAACGACAGGAAUGGUUUUGGUAGGCAUGCAACUAGGACACGGGAAGACGACAGAGAAAGGAGCAGCAGUCGUGUUGUUCGUGAUGGACAUAGUGAUAGGCGUGAUAGCCGGGAAAGAUAUAUGGAUGAAAGAAGGCACAGCAGCAUAGAUAGAGACAAUGUUGAUCGUAGGCACAGAGAAAGGAGCAGCAGUCAUAGUAGACCUGACAGAAGGGAGAGCGCACACCACACUCGUGAAGAAAGCAGGGAGAGGGAAAGGCGAAGUGGUAGCUCAAGGCAUAAAGACCAUCAUAAAAGGGAUACAAGCAAGGAUCGUUAUAAAGAUUAUGUCACGGUUGCUACUGGACAUGAAAGGGAUAAAGUGAGAGAUGAUAGAGACAGGGGCCGGCACAGGGAUAGAGAAAGUGAAACUCGUAGAAGUGGAGCUGGAGAACGCAAGGACAGAAUUAGCAGUAGUGAUAGACACAAGGACUCUACACGCUCGAAAUAUAGCACGUCUGAUGCUCAUAAAGACAGGUCAAGAUCUGGGGAGAAAGGUAGAGAUGUAGACAGCAGAAGCCAUCGAUCUAGAGAAGUGAAGGAACAUUCUUUCAAGGAGGAAGAUGAAGAAGAGUAUCAAGAGAAAAUUGAGCAACAGUUAGCAAUGCAGGAAGAAGAUGACCCUGAAAAAAUUAAGGAGGAAGCGAGGAGAAGGAAAGAAGCUAUUAUGGCGAAAUAUAGGCAGCAACAAGCACAGAAGCAGCAACCGGAAUCUUUACCUAGAAGCAAUGAUGAAGAAGCAAGAGCAGUGGAUAAAGAUGAGACUGUAGAUAUGAAAGGUGAUAAUGAUAGCAAUUCUACGGACAACGAGGAAGCUGAAAAUAAGCAGGACUCUUCAGAUGCAUUUGUUGGUGAGGCAGACUUCAAUGUGGGUAAGUCCCCUGCUCAUGAUGCUGUUUUAGCCUGUGCUGAAGCAUUGGGCAAUGAGGGGACAACAGGUGUUUCAGGCCUUGGAGAGGGUACUCCAAAGAGUGAGAGAUCGGCAGAUAUGUUUUGUGAUGACAUCUUUGGAGAGUCACCUGCAGGAUUUCGGAAAUUGGGCAAGGGAGACGGCUUGUGUAUUGAGAAAAAUGCUCUGCAUGAUAAUUGGGAUGAUCCUGAGGGUUACUAUACUCAUCGAUUUGGGGAAUUGUUGGAUGGCCGUUAUGAAAUUACAGCCGCGCAUGGGAAGGGGGUGUUCUCAACAGUCGUGCGGGCAAAGGAUCUUAAAGCUGGGAAAGAUGAUCCUGAAGUAGUUGCUAUUAAAAUUAUUCGCAAGAACGAGACAAUGUAUAAGGCUGGUAAGCAAGAGGUUUCAAUAUUAGAAAAAUUGGCAAGCGCGGAUCGUGAGGACAGGCGCCACUGCGUGCGGUUCAUUUCUAGUUUCAUGUACCGGAACCAUCUUUGCUUAGUUUUUGAAUCUUUAAAUAUGAAUCUCCGUGAGGUACUAAAGAAAUUUGGUCGCAAUAUUGGGCUUAAACUGACUGCUGUGAGGGCAUAUUCAAAGCAGCUUUUCAUCGCUCUGAAGCACCUGAAAAACUGCAAAGUUCUGCACUGUGAUAUAAAGCCAGACAAUAUGCUGGUGAAUGAUGCUAAGAAUGUCCUGAAGCUAUGCGAUUUUGGCAAUGCUAUGCUUGCUGGAAUGAAUGAGGUCACGCCUUAUCUUGUCAGCCGUUUCUAUCGGGCACCUGAGAUCAUUCUUGGGUUGCCCUAUGAUCACCCAUUGGACAUCUGGUCAGUCGGCUGCUGCCUAUAUGAACUUUCUACUGGAAAGGUCCUGUUUCCAGGUGCAACUAAUAAUGAUAUGCUUCGUCUUCAUAUGGAACUGAAGGGCCCCUUCCCUAAGAAGAUGCUCCGAAAGGGUGCUUUCACGAUGCAACACUUUGACCAAGAUCUCAAUUUUAACGCUAUUGAGGAAGAUCCUGUGACCAAAAAGCCUAUGAGGAAGUUGAUUCUUAACAUCAAACUGAAGGAUUUUGGUUCUUUGGUUUCAAAUUUUCCUGGCGAGGACCCAAAAAUGCUCUCCAAUUUUAAAGACCUUCUUGAAAAAAUAUUUGUCUUAGAUCCAGAUAAGAGGAUAACCGUAUCACAGGCACUUAGCCAUCCAUUUAUCACUGGCAAGUGA
This 2868-nucleotide ribosomal RNA is filed under the name Triticum aestivum (bread wheat). RNAcentral describes it as "partial small subunit ribosomal RNA". The record is from RNAcentral. Lineage: Eukaryota; Viridiplantae; Streptophyta; Magnoliopsida; Poales; Poaceae.